Molecule: unclassified non-coding RNA, 1415 nt
Filed under: Octopus sinensis (East Asian common octopus)
Lineage: Eukaryota; Metazoa; Mollusca; Cephalopoda; Octopoda; Octopodidae
Description: zinc finger CCCH domain-containing protein 10-like, transcript variant X7
Source: RNAcentral
CGUGUUUCCUCCUCCUCCCCCUCUAUCCCCACUCUCUAUCUCACUCCUCUCUCUCUCUCUCCCUCACACUACUUCCAUCAGAAGGUGUUACCUUGGUUGAUAUUGAUGCAAUGUAAAAGAGAUGUGAGCUGAUGGUGUUGUGUUGUGUUUGCUGGUGUUAUGGUUAUCAUUAUUAUUAUUAGUAUUAUUUUAUUAUAACAAGAACAGAGGCUUUUUUUCUUUCCUUUUUUUUUUCUUCUUCUUUCUUUGUUUUAGUUUGAUAACUGACUGAUAAGUGUUGUGGUGGUCUACUCCUUGGCUUUCUUUUCUUCUUCGGCUUCUGCUGCUAUACUAUUAUUACUACUACUACUUUUAAAGCCUGCUUUUUACUUCUGUGGCUUGUUUACACGGCACAACAACCACAAAACAUCACACAUUACGGAAUAAUAUUAUAUCGUAUCAUAUAAGCUUUUUAGUGUAGUGUAAAAUACACUACACAUAGUUUACGAAAGAUUUACUAAAGGAGGAAACAUACAUAUAUAUACAUAUAUAUAUAUUAUAUGCAAGAUACACCAGCCACAUAAUACAAAAACCAGAUUUAUAUGGAUUUAUCUAUCACAGCAAGAGAUCUCUUGUAACUACUAUCACUACUACUUAUAUAUAUAUACAUAUACAUAUAUAUAUACAUAUAUAUAUAUAUAUAUGUAUGCUCACCUUUCAAAAGGCCUGGUUUCUAUGGAUUAAUACAAACAAAAAAAGCACAUUUUAAAGAACGAGGUUUUUUUUAAUUAUAUAUAUAUAUAUAUAUAUAUGGAUUUAUCAUCUUAUCAACACAGUGAGAUACCACCAAGAAACAGUUGACAUAAUAUUAUUAUUAUACUGAUAUAUAUAUAGUAUUAAUAUAUAAUAUUAUAUAAUAUAUAUAUAUAUUUAUGUUUGUUUAUUGUGAGAUCUUAUUGCUGACUUCUACCUACCAUGUCACAACAAUUAUUUAAACAAUAUCAACACGACCACCACUAUUUAAAACGUGGUAUUAUGGAGAUAUAAGAAGUUAAGGUGGUCUCUCUUACAAAGAAGUGUUCAAUAAGAGGAAGCUGUUGCAAUAUAGUAAUCAUCCUUGCUGAACUCUGAGGAUAUAUAUUUACUUACUCAAAGUAUAUACAGUUUUAAACAUAUGCACACUCAUUCACUCACACAUUUAUGUGUGUAUGUAUAUUUAUAUACAUAUAACUAAAGUGGAUAUAUAACAUGGCAAGGUCUUUACUAUUUAUGAGUAUGGUUUGAGGAAGAUUUGGCUCCUAUUUCUAGCAGUCUCAUGAACGCUGCAGGUUUAUUCUGAAGUCAGGCUAAGUUGAUUUGGCGACCUUGCAUUCAUCCCUGCGGCUGCAGGCUUUUUCCUUUGCUCUCCUAAUUUUCCUAUUUUUUUUUAAAAAAAA